AUACAGAGGGUGCAAGCGUUAAUCGGAUUUACUGGGCGUAAAGCGCGCGUAGGCGGCUAAUUAAGUCAAAUGUGAAAUCCCCGAGCUUAACUUGGGAAUUGCAUUCGAUACUGGUUAGCUAGAGUGUGGGAGAGGAUGGUAGAAUUCCAGGUGUAGCGGUGAAAUGCGUAGAGAUCUGGAGGAAUACCGAUGGCGAAGGCAGCCAUCUGGCCUAACACUGACGCUGAGGUGCGAAAGCAUGGGGAGCAAACAGGAUUAGAUACCCGAGUAGUCC
Molecule: ribosomal RNA, 274 nt
Filed under: uncultured bacterium
Lineage: Bacteria
Description: partial 16S ribosomal RNA
Rfam family: Bacterial small subunit ribosomal RNA
Source: RNAcentral